CUAAUACCGCAUAAGCGCACAGGACCGCAUGGUCUAGUGUGAAAAACUCCGGUGGUGUGAGAUGGACCCGCGUUUGAUUAGCUAGUUGGUGGGGUAACGGCCUACCAAGGCGACGAUCAAUAGCCGGCCUGAGAGGGUGACCGGCCACAUUGGGACUGAGACACGGCCCAAACUCCUACGGGAGGCAGCAGUGGGGAAUAUUGUACAAUGGGGGAAACCCUGAUGCAGCGACGCCGCGUGAGUGAAGAAGUAUUUCGGUAUGUAAAGCUCUAUCAGCAGGGAAGAAAAUGACGGUACCUGACUAAGAAGCCCCGGCUAACUACGUGCCAGCAGCCGCGGUAAUACGUAGGGGGCAAGCGUUAUCCGGAUUUACUGGGUGUAAAGGGAGCGUAGACGGUAAAGCAAGUCUGAAGUGAAAGCCCGGGGCUCAACCCCGGGACUGCUUUGGAAACUGUUUAACUAGAGUGCUGGAGAGGUAAGCGGAAUUCCUAGUGUAGCGGUGAAAUGCGUAGAUAUUAGGAGGAACACCAGUGGCGAAGGCGGCUUACUGGACAGUAACUGACGUUGAGGCUCGAAAGCGUGGGGAGCAAACAGGAUUAGAUACCCUGGUAGUCCACGCCGUAAAC
Molecule: ribosomal RNA, 626 nt
Filed under: uncultured bacterium
Lineage: Bacteria
Description: bacterial SSU rRNA
Rfam family: Bacterial small subunit ribosomal RNA
Source: RNAcentral